CCUGGCUCAGAUUAAACGCUGGCGGCAUGCCUUACACAUGCAAGUCGAACGGUAGCGCGGGGCAACCUGGCGACGAGUGGCGAACGGGUGAGUAAGCAUCGGAACGUGCCCUGGAAUGGGGGAUAACGUAGCGAAAGUUACGCUAAUACCGCAUAUUCUGUGAGCAGGAAAGCAGGGGAUCGCAAGACCUUGCGUUCUGGGAGCGGCCGAUGUCGGAUUAGCUAGUUGGUGGGGUAAAAGCCUACCAAGGCGACGAUCCGUAGCGGGUCUGAGAGGAUGAUCCGCCACACUGGGACUGAGACACGGCCCAGACUCCUACGGGAGGCAGCAGUGGGGAAUUUUGGACAAUGGGCGGAAGCCUGAUCCAGCCAUGCCGCGUGAGUGAAGAAGGCCUUCGGGUUGUAAAGCUCUUUCGGUGGGGAAGAAAUUGCACGGGUUAAUACCCUGUGUAGAUGACGGUACCCGACUAAGAAGCACCGGCUAACUACGUG
RNAcentral lists this ribosomal RNA (491 nucleotides) under uncultured bacterium. Its description in RNAcentral is "bacterial SSU rRNA". It matches the Rfam family "Bacterial small subunit ribosomal RNA", at positions 18 to 507 of the family's 1533-position model. The record is from RNAcentral.